RNAcentral lists this ribosomal RNA (942 nucleotides) under Cyathus striatus. Its description in RNAcentral is "LSU rRNA". It matches the Rfam family "Eukaryotic large subunit ribosomal RNA", at positions 38 to 964 of the family's 3401-position model. Lineage: Eukaryota; Fungi; Basidiomycota; Agaricomycetes; Agaricales; Nidulariaceae. The record is from RNAcentral.
GCAUAUCAAUAAGCGGAGGAAAAGAAACUAACAAGGAUUCCCCUAGUAACUGCGAGUGAAGCGGGAAAAGCUCAAAUUUAAAAUCUGGUGGUCUUUGAUCAUCCGAGUUGUAAUCUAGAGAAGUGUUACCCGCGUUGGACCGUGUACAAGUCUCCUGGAAUGGAGCGUCAUAGAGGGUGAGAAUCCCGUCUUUGACACGGACUACCAAGGCUUUGUGGUGCGCUCUCAACGAGUCGAGUUGUUUGGGAAUGCAGCUCAAAAUGGGUGGUAAAUUCCAUCUAAAGCUAAAUACAGGCGAGAGACCGAUAGCGAACAAGUACCGUGAGGGAAAGAUGAAAAGAACUUUGGAAAGAGAGUUAAACAGUACGUGAAAUUGCUGAAAGGGAAACGCUGGAAGUCAGUCGCGUUGGCUAGGAAUCAACCUUACUCUUUUGUAGGGCUUACUUCUUAGUUGACGGGCCAACAUCAAUUUUGAUUGCUGGAAAAAGGCUUAGGGAAUGUGGCACCUUCGGGUGUGUUAUAGCCCUAGGUUGUAUACAGUGGUUGGGAUUGAGGAACGCAGCACGCCGUAAGGUUGGGUCUCUGAUCACACUCGUGCUUCGGAUGUUGGCAUAAUGGCUUUCAUCGACCCGUCUUGAAACACGGACCAAGGAGUCUAACAUGCCUGCGAGUGUUUGAGUGGAAAACUCGAGCGCACAAUGAAAGUAAUAGUUGAGAUCUCUGUCAUGGAGAGCAUCGACGCCCGGACCUGAUGUUUACUGACGGUUCUGCGGUAGAGCAUGUAUGUUGGGACCCGAAAGAUGGUGAACUAUGCCUGAAUAGGGUGAAGCCAGAGGAAACUCUGGUGGAGGCUCGUAGCGAUUCUGACGUGCAAAUCGAUCGUCAAAUUUGGGUAUAGGGGCGAAAGACUAAUCGAACCAUCUAGUAGCUGGUUCCUGCCGA